This 2535-nucleotide ribosomal RNA is filed under the name anaerobic digester metagenome. RNAcentral's name for it is "bacterial LSU rRNA". It matches the Rfam family "Bacterial large subunit ribosomal RNA", at positions 3 to 2303 of the family's 2925-position model. The record is from RNAcentral.
UUAAGUUACUAAGGGCUUACGGUGGAUGCCUAGGCGCCGGAAGACGAUGAAGGGCGUAGUGAGCUGCGAUAAGCCUCGGGGAGCCGCAAACAGGCUUAGAUCCGGGGAUUCCCGAAUGGGGCAACCUGCUGCGAGUAAUGUCGCAGCAUUCAUGGCUGAAUAUAUAGGUCAUGAAAGUCAUACCCGGGGAACUGAAACAUCUUAGUACCCGGAGGAAAAGAAAGCAAAAGCGAUUCCCUCAGUAGUGGCGAGCGAAAGGGGAACAGCCCAAACUGUAGCGGUGUUAAAGCCUGCCGGCGUUGCCGCUACAGGGUAGCGGGGCGCUUUUGGGUCGUGCGGCAGAACGGCCGGCAAGUUACAAAUCCUUUUAAUAGGCGAAAUCACCUGGAAAGGUAUACCGCAGAAGGUAAUAGUCCUGUAGCUGAAAUUAAAAGGACUUGCUUAAAGCGUUCCCAAGUAUCACGGGGCACGUGGAAUCCCGUGUGAAUCAGGGAGGACCACCUCCUAAGGCUAAAUACUAACCGGCGACCGAUAGUGGAGCAGUACCGUGAGGGAAAGGUGAAAAGUACCCCGGAAGGGGAGUGAAAUAGUACCUGAAACCGUGAGCCUACAAGCAGUGGAAGCACUAUUUGCGGCAGUCUAGCUGCUGUAAAGUGUGACCGCGUACUUUUUGUAGAACGGGCCGGCGAGUUACGUUUAGUAGCAAGGUUAAGGGACAAAGUCCUGGAGCCGUAGCGAAAGCGAGUCUGAAAAGGGCGUUUAGUUACUGGACGUAGACCCGAAACCGGGUGACCUACCCAUGACCAGGGUGAAGCUUGGGUAAAGCUGAGUGGAGGCCCGAACCCACCGAUGUUAAAAAAUCGGGGGAUGAGUUGUGGGUAGCGGUGAAAUGCCAAUCGAACCCGGAUAUAGCUGGUUCUCCCCGAAAUAGCUUUUGGGCUAGCCUCAAGUAAUGAGAGCUGGGGGUAGAGCACUGAUUGGGCUAGGGGCCCUACAAGGUUACCGAAUUCAGUCAAACUCCGAAUACCAGUUCUUCUAUCUUGGGAGUCAGACUAUGGGAGAUAAGUUUCAUAGUCGAGAGGGAAACAGCCCAGACCAUCGGCUAAGGUCCCAGAGUGCAGGCUAAGUGGGAAAGGAUGUGGAAACGCUGAGACAACCAGGAUGUUGGCUUAGAAGCAGCCAUCAUUUAAAGAGUGCGUAAUAGCUCACUGGUCAAGUAUUUCUGCGCCGAAAAUGUAACGGGGCUCAAGCCUGCCACCGAAGCCAUGGCAUCUGGUAGAAUUACUACUGCGUUUUAUUCUGGAAAAAGGUGUAUAACAUUUCGUCACAAAUUUACCUUAAUGUUUAAAUCAAAAUUUGUGACCAAAUGGUCCCCAGGGGAUAAAGCGAUAAAGCUUGGUAGAGGAUAAAACUUGGUAGUAAUUCUACCAGAUGGGUAGGGGAGCGUUCUGGCAGCACCGAAGCUGUACCGUGAGGAGCAGUGGAGCUUCCAGAAGUGAGAAUGCCGGCAUGAGUAACGAUAAGGCAAGUGAGAAUCUUGCCCGCCGAAAGCCUAAGGUUUCCUGAGGAAGGUUCGUCCUCUCAGGGUAAGUCGGGACCUAAGCUGAGGCCGAAAGGCGUAGGCGAUGGAUAACUGGUGGAAAUUCCAGUACCACCUUGAGCCGUUAUGAGCAAUGGGGUGACGCAGGAGGGUAGGCGCAGCGCACCGUUGGUUGUGUGCGUCUAAGCGUGUAGGGAGUGGAGAUAGGCAAAUCCGUCUCCAUGCUAAUCCCGAGGCGCGAUGGGGAGCGAAAUUUAAGUAGCGAACUGGCUGAUCCCAUACUGCCAAGAAAAACCUCUAGCCAGGCUACAGGGUGCCCGUACCGUAAACCGACACAGGUAGGCGAGGAGAGAAUCCUAAGGCGCGCGGGAGAACCCUCGUUAAGGAACUCGGCAAAAUUACCUCGUAACUUCGGGAAAAGGGGUGCCUCGUGUAGGGUGACACUUUAUCUUGUGUAGCCCGAGGAGGCCGCAGUGAACAGGCCCAAGCGACUGUUUAGCAAAAACACAGGUCUCUGCUAAGUCGUAAGACGACGUAUAGGGGCUGACGCCUGCCCGGUGCUGGAAGGUUAAGGGGAAGGGUUAGCGCUUCGGCGCGAAGCUCUGAACCUAAGCCCCAGUAAACGGCGGCCGUAACUAUAACGGUCCUAAGGUAGCGAAAUUCCUNNNNNNGUUCCGACCCGCACGAAAGGCGUAACGACUUGGGCGCUGUCUCAACGAGGGACCCGGUGAAAUUGUAGUACCUGUGAAGAUGCAGGUUACCUGCGACUAGACGGAAAGACCCCGUGGAGCUUUACUGUAACCUGAUAUUGGAUUUUGGUAUUGAAUGUACAGGAUAGGUGGGAGGCUGAGAACUCCGGGCGCUAGCCUGGAGGGAGCCACCCUUGGGAUACCACCCUUUCAAUGCUGGAAUUCUAACCAGAAACCGUUAUCCGGUUUUGGGACAGUGUCAGGCGGGCAGUUUGACUGGGGCGGUCGCCUCCCAAAGAGUAACGG